RNAcentral lists this ribosomal RNA (458 nucleotides) under uncultured bacterium. RNAcentral's name for it is "bacterial SSU rRNA". It matches the Rfam family "Bacterial small subunit ribosomal RNA", at positions 1 to 478 of the family's 1533-position model. The record is from RNAcentral.
UGAGGCGCGCCGAGUUUGAUCCUGGCUCAGAAUGAACGCUGGCGGCGUUAAUGCAAGUCGAACGGUAACAGGAGGAAGCUUGCUUCCUUGCUGACGAGUGGCGCACGGGUGAGUAAUGCAUAGGUAACGUGCCCCUUAGUCUGGGAUAGCCACUGGAAACGGUGAAUAAUACCGGAUACUCCUUCUCACUUAAUGUGAGUCGGGAAAGUUUUUCGCUAAGGGAUCGGCCUAUGUCCUAUCAGGUAGUUGGUGAGGUAAGAGCUCACCAAGCCUAUGACGGGUAGCGGGUCUGAGAGGAUGAUCCGCCACACUGGUACUGAGACACGGACCAGACUCCUACGGGAGGCAGCAGUGGGGAAUAUUGCACAAUGGACGAAAGUCUGAUGCAGCAACGCCGCGUGGAGGAUGACACAUUUCGGUGCGUAAACUCCUUUUAUAUGAGAAGAUAAUGACGGUAU